GUUGAGUGAUGGCUACAGUAUGUGACAGGCGCCCCAAAGCGGCUUUGUUAUGUGUUCUAGCUGCGUUCAUAAAAAUCAUAAAAAGGAAGAAAUGCAGACGAAAAACAUGGAUGAAACAGUUGCUCAUAGACGAAAACAAAGGGAGAAAGAUGGUGAGGCCGGCGGCAAGCAGGGACAAGGCGCAGAACACAGCGGACGGCGCCCACACUAUUACUUCUCCCUGAAAUUAAAUAAGGAGAGAAGACGCCUCCUAUCCUGGCGCAGAGGCUGGCCUGUGAGGUAGCGAGGGAGCGGUAAUUGGUGGGAAACAGCUCCACUGUGAACACCCAAAGCAAGUGGAAACCCAUCGUGAUGGCCACCUUCCCGCUUA
Molecule: long non-coding RNA, 370 nt
Organism: Scylla paramamosain (green mud crab)
Lineage: Eukaryota; Metazoa; Arthropoda; Malacostraca; Decapoda; Portunidae
Exons: 3
Source: RefSeq, a predicted model, not a curated record